This 497-nucleotide ribosomal RNA is filed under the name uncultured bacterium. RNAcentral describes it as "partial 16S ribosomal RNA". It matches the Rfam family "Bacterial small subunit ribosomal RNA", at positions 28 to 507 of the family's 1533-position model. The record is from RNAcentral.
GAUGAACGCUGGCGGCGUGCCUAAUACAUGCAAGUCGAGCGAACAGAUGAGGAGCUUGCUCCUCUGACGUUAGCGGCGGACGGGUGAGUAACACGUGGAUAACCUACCUAUAAGACUGGGAUAACUUCGGGAAACCGGAGCUAAUACCGGAUAAUAUAUUGAACCGCAUGGUUCAAUAGUGAAAGACGGUUUUGCUGUCACUUAUAGAUGGAUCCGCGCCGCAUUAGCUAGUUGGUAAGGUAACGGCUUACCAAGGCAACGAUGCGUAGCCGACCUGAGAGGGUGAUCGGCCACACUGGAACUGAGACACGGUCCAGACUCCUACGGGAGGCAGCAGUAGGGAAUCUUCCGCAAUGGGCGAAAGCCUGACGGAGCAACGCCGCGUGAGUGAUGAAGGUCUUCGGAUCGCAAAACUCUGUUAUUAGGGAAGAACAAAUGUGUAAGUAACUAUGCACGUCUUGACGGUACCUAAUCAGAAAGCCACGGCUAACUACGUG